This 68-nucleotide small RNA is filed under the name Sporolactobacillus laevolacticus DSM 442. Its description in RNAcentral is "Bacillaceae-1 RNA". It matches the Rfam family "Bacillaceae-1 RNA". Lineage: Bacteria; Bacillati; Bacillota; Bacilli; Caryophanales; Sporolactobacillaceae. The record is from Rfam by way of RNAcentral.
AGGAAAGGAUCUUUCGCUAAAUACGUACACGUCCUGUGUACAACGCGAAAGUCACCACAUCCUGUGGA